Molecule: ribosomal RNA, 580 nt
Filed under: uncultured bacterium
Lineage: Bacteria
Description: bacterial SSU rRNA
Rfam family: Bacterial small subunit ribosomal RNA
Source: RNAcentral
CCUUUCACAGAGGGAUAGCCCAGAGAAAUUUGGAUUAAUACCUCAUAGUAUAGUACCUUGGCAUCAAGGAACUAUUAAAGAUUUAUCGGUGAAAGAUGAGCAUGCGUCCCAUUAGCUAGAUGGUAAGGUAACGGCUUACCAUGGCUACGAUGGGUAGGGGUCCUGAGAGGGAGAUCCCCCACACUGGUACUGAGACACGGACCAGACUCCUACGGGAGGCAGCAGUGAGGAAUAUUGGUCAAUGGGCGCAAGCCUGAUCCAGCCAUGCCGCGUGCAGGAAGAAGGUCCUAUGGAUUGUAAACUGCUUUUAUACAGGAAGAAACACCUCUACGUGUAGAGACUUGACGGUACUGUAUGAAUAAGGACCGGCUAACUCCGUGCCAGCAGCCGCGGUAAUACGGAGGGUCCAAGCGUUAUCCGGAAUCAUUGGGUUUAAAGGGUCCGUAGGCGGCCAAAUAAGUCAGUGGUGAAAGCCCAUCGCUCAACGAUGGAACGGCCAUUGAUACUGUUUGGCUUGAAUUAUUAGGAAGUAACUAGAAUAUGUAGUGUAGCGGUGAAAUGCUUAGAGAUUACAUGGAAU